Molecule: small nucleolar RNA, 129 nt
Organism: Apodemus sylvaticus (European woodmouse)
Lineage: Eukaryota; Metazoa; Chordata; Mammalia; Rodentia; Muridae
Product: small nucleolar RNA SNORA17
Exons: 1
Source: RefSeq, a predicted model, not a curated record
CCUGCCCCUAGAGUCAUUGCAGAUGUGGCUUCUUGUGUCAUGUAUGUGUCAAUAUGUAGCAGAGAGGAGAGAGUCUGGGUCUACACUUAGUAUUCUGGCCUAUGACUCUCUGGUUAGUAGCUUAGAAUU